UUUUCCAUAUGGAGGAAAGUUACA
RNAcentral lists this small nuclear RNA (24 nucleotides) under Arabidopsis thaliana (thale cress). RNAcentral describes it as "snRNA_13327". Lineage: Eukaryota; Viridiplantae; Streptophyta; Magnoliopsida; Brassicales; Brassicaceae. The record is from RNAcentral.